AACGCGAAGAACCUUACCUGGGUUUGACAUCCCCGGACAGCCGUAGAGAUACGGUCUUCGUAGCAAUACGACCGGGAGACAGGUGCUGCAUGGCUGUCGUCAGCUCGUGUGGUGACAUGUUGGGUUAAGUCCCGCAACGAGCGCAACCCCUGUCCUUAGUUGCCAGCAUUCAGUUGGGCUCUCUAAGGAGACUGCCGUGGUUAACACGGAGGAAGGUGGGGAUGACGUCAAGUCCUCAUGGCCUUUAUAUCCAGGGCGACACACGUGAUACAAUGGUCGGUACAAAGGGAAGCCAAGGAGCGAUCCGGAGCCAAUCCCAAAAAGCCGAUCUCAGUUCGGAUUGGAGUCUGCAACUCGACUCCAUGAAGUUGGAAUCGCUAGUAAUCGCGGAUCAGCACGCCGCGGUGAAUACGUUCCCGGGCCUUGUACACACCGACAUA
Molecule: ribosomal RNA, 440 nt
Filed under: uncultured bacterium
Lineage: Bacteria
Description: bacterial SSU rRNA
Rfam family: Bacterial small subunit ribosomal RNA
Source: RNAcentral